UGCGAAUAUAAGAGAAAGGCUUUAUUGAUGGAGGUGGGGUUCUGUGACGCCUUUGUCUGGUCGUAGAACACAAACGAAGAACGUGAAGUUGUAGCUAUGGCAAACUUGUAAUCUAAACAAAACUCAAGUCUAAACGGUGCCCUAAGGGCUGUAUAUAUGAGGGAAUAGAGAGGCAAUUUCAUGACCCUGGAGGAGGUGUCCGAAAACAGCCCUAAACUCGGUUUUCCCACACAUACGGACUCUAAAAAUAGCCUAUAUUGUGGUGUUUCGAAAUUACAUGGGCCUGGCCCAAAAAUAAGGUGGUGCAACACCUAUAAUAGCCUAUGGACGAAAUUUAUAAAGUGGCAUCUUGAAUAUUUCGUCCAAAGCCUUCAUGCUCUCCUUAUGGUGACUUUAGAGUGCGAAAAUCACGAGUGGAAGCUCCAUUGUUCUCUGUCGCGCGUGCACCUUCUUCUCCAUGCUUGAUCCCGCUCCAACGAAUAUCCUUCUUGUCCAUGCUAGGUCCUUUAUUCAUGAGCACAACAAAAAUAUCUAACUUAGGAAGCAUCAUAUAUUCAUAAGCAUUAGAAGUAUUCCCAAUAAACGAAAGUACCUGGUAAUUCAAUUGGCGUGCACAAGCUCUAGUAACCGGUCCAAUAUGUAUAGCAGCUGGGGAUGUGGGUGUAACAAUGGUGUUGAUGUCCUCAUCAACAUGGGAGGAGUCCGUAAAGAGAAUCUAAAGGAUUAGAGCAUCACCAAAGAACUAGCCAUGAACAGGUGUGCGUAGAAGCUUGCUAUCCAUGUGCGAGAACCAUGAGUUGGUCACAAGAUCUUAUGGAUUUCACUUCUAGCCUAUCCCAACUUGUUUGGGACUAAAGACUUUGUUCUUAUUGUAUAGGUUGAUGAAUUUCCCUCGUAGCUUUCUUUCUAGCUAUUGUUGAUCGAUGUAAUAAAAUUUAGCAAGAUGGCUUAGAUUUUUUCAUGUGGUUUUCUGGUUAGUGGCAGAGUGUUAGAUGAUUAAUUUGAUGUUGGCCUGUUGAAUCUGUCUGUUUGUUGCUUCAUUAAUAAAUAAAGUGGAGCGGGAGACCCCUUUCAUUUCAAAGAAACGAUAGGUCUGAUGAAGGAAAUAACUCAUAGACUAUGUAGAGAAGCAGGUGUCAAGAACAUAACGUUGGGUGUGAUGAGAAACAUCAGCCUCCACUACAGUUGGACGAAGCCAGCAAAGUAAACAUGCGGCUACAACUAACAACACAACAUCGAGAGGAUAAGGGUGAAGAGAAAGAUGACCAACAUGGUUUGUCGGGGUGAUGCUGGUGUUUGGCAAGAUGUCGGAGUUUGGCGACAUGCCGGGAGGACGGCGCCGGAUUUCCUCGGUCGGAUUCGGCGCUGCCUGGUGGUGCUCUUCCUCGUCGUGGUGCUCUAGUGGUUGGAGCCGCAAGCGGCGGGGCGAGGGUCUGCCGGCUACUCCAUAAAUAAGGCCUGCUUGGGCAGGCGGGUGCUGACCUCUGUUCUUCACUGUACCAUGGAGGUGGAAGGAAGGAGAUGCAGGUGAAGCUUUUGUACGGGUCUCGGGCUGUUAUGGAGUGGCGAUGCAGCUGUUGCAAGGUGAACAAUCUCGGUGGCCCAAGUUUUGGUGACCGACUCUGAUGACCAGCUGGUGGUCUCCCUCGAAGCCGGCGAUGAUUGCCGAGGCUUCUUCAACCUCCAUGCGGAGGCCCCUUUUUGAGUUCACGGUAGCGUUCCCCUUCCUCUCGGUGCCAAGUGGUUUCGUCCCUUGCUCCGGCAAGGAUGGUUGCAAGCUAAGCUUGCGCUUCUCCGUAGUGCAAAGGACCUGAUUGCAUUUUCAUGUUUAUUUUUUGGGUCCUCUCUGUAAAAACAGGGGCUGCUUUCUAUUUUCUUUAUGUUUUGGGUCCCUGAUUUACCUUGUAUGUGCACCGCUGAAAGUUAAUGGAAUCCAGGCCCUUCGGGACCUCUCCAUGUUCAAAAUGAAAACAUGGGGCUCCAAAUAGGAGUGAGGG
This 1997-nucleotide long non-coding RNA is filed under the name Hordeum vulgare. RNAcentral's name for it is "long non-coding RNA (HVUL_LNC019250)". The record is from RNAcentral. Lineage: Eukaryota; Viridiplantae; Streptophyta; Magnoliopsida; Poales; Poaceae.